AAAACAGAGCUUCCGCACUAAGCACCAAAACGGAGCUUCCGCACGGCCUGAUACUUUCACCCACACAACAAAUCCGUUCUCUGGCUUCUCACUAGCAUCACCAUGGCUGUCCAGCAUUAAAGUACAAGGUUUUCAUUGGAAAGGUUGAAAUUGCUAAGGCCUAUGAAAAAGGUGGAGCAGCAUGCCUCAGUGUAUUAACAGACUAGAAAUACUUUCAAGGAGGCUUUGAGAAUUUGGAGAAGAUAAGGAAUUCAGGAGUGAAGUGCCCUCUGUUAUGCAAAGAGUUUGUUAUAGACGCUUGGCAAAUAUACUAUGCUCGCACAAAAGGCGCAGAUGCAAUCCUGUUAAUUGCUGCUGUUUUACCAGAUCUUGAUAUCAAAUACAUGACUAAGAUCUGCAAAUUGCUUGGUUUAAC
Long non-coding RNA from Coffea eugenioides, 415 nucleotides. RefSeq lists it as uncharacterized. The transcript is spliced from 4 exons. NCBI's taxonomy places the organism in Eukaryota, Viridiplantae, Streptophyta, Magnoliopsida, Gentianales, Rubiaceae. The record is from RefSeq and is a predicted model, not a curated record.